UCAUCUUCGGGGGUAGAGCACUGUUUCGGCUAGGGGGUCAUCCCGACUUACCAACCCGAUGCAAACUACGAAUACCGAAGAAUGUUAUCACGGGAGACACACGGCGGGUGCUAACGUCCGUCGUGAAGAGGGAAACAACCCAGACCGCCAGCUAAGGUCCCAAAGUCAUGGUUAAGUGGGAAACGAUGUGGGAAGGCACAGACAGCCAGGAUGUUGGCUUAGAAGCAGCCAUCAUUUAAAGAAAGCGUAAUAGCUCACUGGUCGAGUCGGCCUGCGCGGAAGAUGUAACGGGGCUAAACCAUGCACCGAAGCUGCGGCAGCGACACUAUGUGUUGUUGGGUAGGGGAGCGUUCUGUAAGCCGUUGAAGGUGGCCUGUGAGGGUUGCUGGAGGUAUCAGAAGUGCGAAUGCUGACAUAAGUAACGAUAAAGCGGGUGAAAAGCCCGCUCGCCGGAAGACCAAGGGUUCCUGUCCAACGUUAAUCGGGGCAGGGUGAGUCGACCCCUAAGGCGAGGCCGAAAGGCGUAGUCGAUGGGAAACAGGUUAAUAUUCCUGUACUCGGUGUUACUGCGAAGGGGGGACGGAGAAGGCUAUGUUAGCCGGGCGACGGUUGUCCCGGUUUAAGCAUGUAGGCGGGCGUUUUAGGUAAAUCCGGAACGUCAUUUAACGCUGAGGUGUGAUGACGAGGCACUACGGUGCUGAAGUAACAAAUGCCCUGCUUCCAGGAAAAGCCUCUAAGCAUCAGGUAACAUCAAAUCGUACCCCAAACCGACACAGGUGGUCAGGUAGAGAAUACCAAGGCGCUUGAGAGAACUCGGGUGAAGGAACUAGGCAAAAUGGUGCCGUAACUUCGGGAGAAGGCACGCUGAUGGUA
Molecule: ribosomal RNA, 873 nt
Filed under: Klebsiella huaxiensis
Lineage: Bacteria; Pseudomonadati; Pseudomonadota; Gammaproteobacteria; Enterobacterales; Enterobacteriaceae
Description: partial 23S ribosomal RNA
Rfam family: Bacterial large subunit ribosomal RNA
Source: RNAcentral